UCGAGGGGCAUCAGGAAGAAAGCUUGCUUUCUUUGCUGGCGACCGGCGCACGGGUGAGUAACACGUAUCCAACCUGCCCUUUACUCGGGGAUAGCCUUUCGAAAGAAAGAUUAAUACCCGAUAGCAUAAUGAUUCCGCAUGGUUUCAUUAUUAAAGGAUUCCGGUAAAGGAUGGGGAUGCGUCUGAUUAGCUUGUUGGCGGGGUAACGGCCCACCAAGGCGACGAUCAGUAGCCGGACUGAGAGGUUGACCGGCCACAUUGGGACUGAGAUACGACCCAGACUCC
RNAcentral lists this ribosomal RNA (285 nucleotides) under uncultured bacterium. RNAcentral describes it as "partial 16S ribosomal RNA". It matches the Rfam family "Bacterial small subunit ribosomal RNA", at positions 62 to 339 of the family's 1533-position model. The record is from RNAcentral.